UGCAGAGGGUGCGAGCGUUAAUCGGAAUUACUGGGCGUAAAGCGUGCGUAGGCGGUUCGUUAAGUCUGAUGUGAAAGCCCUGGGCUCAACUUGGGAAUGGCAUUGGAAACUGGCGAGCUAGAGUGCGGUAGAGGGCAGUGGAAUUCCCGGUGUAGCAGUGAAAUGCGUAGAGAUCGGGAGGAACAUCUGUGGCGAAGGCGACUGCCUGGACCAGCACUGACGCUGAGGCACGAAAGCGUGGGGAGCAAACAGG
RNAcentral lists this ribosomal RNA (253 nucleotides) under uncultured bacterium. RNAcentral's name for it is "partial 16S ribosomal RNA". It matches the Rfam family "Bacterial small subunit ribosomal RNA", at positions 524 to 776 of the family's 1533-position model. The record is from RNAcentral.